CACCGCCCGUCGCUCCUACCGAUUGAAUGGUCCGAUGAAGUGUUCGGAUCGCGGUAACGUGGGCGGUUCACCGCCGGCGACGUCGCAAGAAGUUCACUGAACCUUAUCAUUUAGAGGAAGGAGAAGUCGUAACAAGGUUUCCGUAGGUGAACCUGCGGAAG
This is a non-coding RNA of Beta vulgaris subsp. vulgaris (sugar beet), 161 nucleotides long. Lineage: Eukaryota; Viridiplantae; Streptophyta; Magnoliopsida; Caryophyllales; Amaranthaceae. The record is from Rfam.